AGCGAGAGAACUGUUGUUAAGGAACUCGGCAAAAUGACCCCGUAACUUAGGGAUAAGGGGUGCCACCAUCAGGUGGCCGCAGAGAAUAGGCCCAAGCGACUGUUUACCAAAAACAUAGGUUUCUGCUAAGUCGCAAGACGAUGUAUAGGAGCUGACGCCUGCCCGGUGCUGGAAGGUUAAGGGGAUCUGUUAGAGCAAUCGAAGCAGUGAACUUAAGCCCCAGUAAACGGCGGCCGUAACUAUAACGGUCCUAAGGUAGCGAAAUUCCUUGUCGGGUAAGUUCCGACCCGCACGAAAGGCGUAACGAUUUGGGCACUGUCUCAACAACAGACUCGGUGAAAUUGUAAUUCCGGUGAAGAUGCCGGAUACCUGCGACAGGACGGAAAGACCCCAUGGAGCUUUACUGUAGCUUGACAUUGGGUCUUGGUACUACAUGUACAGGAUAGGUGGGAGGCUUUGAAACCAGGACGCCAGUUUUGGCGGAGCCAUCCUUGGGAUACCACCCUUGUAGUACUGGGACUCUAACCAUAGGCCAUGAAUCUGGUCUUGGGACACUGUCAGGUGGGCAGUUUGACUGGGGCGGUCGCCUCCCAAAAGGUAACGGAGGCGCUCAAAGGUUCUCUCAGUACGGUCGGAAAUCGUACGUAGAGUGUAAAGGCAAAAGAGAGCUUGAUUGCAAGACAUACAGGUCGAGCAAGGAUGAAAAUCGGACUUAGUGAUCCGGUGGUUCUGCGUGGAAGGGCCAUCGCUCAACGGAUAAAAGCU
RNAcentral lists this ribosomal RNA (765 nucleotides) under Clostridioides difficile. Its description in RNAcentral is "partial 23S ribosomal RNA". It matches the Rfam family "Bacterial large subunit ribosomal RNA", at positions 1689 to 2464 of the family's 2925-position model. Lineage: Bacteria; Bacillati; Bacillota; Clostridia; Peptostreptococcales; Peptostreptococcaceae. The record is from RNAcentral.